This 61-nucleotide transfer RNA is filed under the name Nembrotha kubaryana. RNAcentral describes it as "tRNA-Gln". Lineage: Eukaryota; Metazoa; Mollusca; Gastropoda; Nudibranchia; Polyceridae. The record is from RNAcentral.
AUCUUUUUGGUGUAAAGCACAGGAGUUUUUGAUUCUCCAGGAGGGUAAAUCCCAGAAGAUU